This 425-nucleotide ribosomal RNA is filed under the name uncultured bacterium. RNAcentral describes it as "bacterial SSU rRNA". It matches the Rfam family "Bacterial small subunit ribosomal RNA", at positions 354 to 796 of the family's 1533-position model. The record is from RNAcentral.
GUGGGGAAUAUUGCACAAUGGGGGAAACCCUGAUGCAGCAACGCCGCGUGAGUGAAGAAGCUCUUCGGAGCGUAAAACUCUGUCCUAAGGGAAGAAGCCUGACGGUACCUUAGGAGGAAGCCCCGGCUAACUACGUGCCAGCAGCCGCGGUAAUACGUAGGGGGCGAGCGUUAUCCGGAAUUACUGGGCGUAAAGCGUGCGUAGGCGGUCAUGCAAGCUUGGGGUUUAAAGCUGCGGCUUAACCGCAGUGCGCCCUUAGAACUGUAUGGCUUGAGUGCAGGAGAGGAGAGUGGAAUUCCUAGUGUAGCGGUGAAAUGCGUAGAGAUUAGGAGGAACACCAGUGGCGAAGGCGACUCUCUGGACUGUAACUGACGCUGAGGCACGAAAGCGUGGGGAGCAAACAGGAUUAGAAACCCUAGUAGUCC